GAUGAACGCUGGCGGCGUGCCUAAUACAUGCAAGUCGAGCGAACGGACGAGAAGCUUGCUUCUCUGAUGUUAGCGGCGGACGGGUGAGUAACACGUGGAUAACCUACCUAUAAGACUGGGAUAACUUCGGGAAACCGGAGCUAAUACCGGAUAAUAUUUUGAACCGCAUGGUUCAAAAGUGAAAGACGGUCUUGCUGUCACUUAUAGAUGGAUCCGCGCUGCAUUAGCUAGUUGGUAAGGUAACGGCUUACCAAGGCAACGAUGCAUAGCCGACCUGAGAGGGUGAUCGGCCACACUGGAACUGAGACACGGUCCAGACUCCUACGGGAGGCAGCAGUAGGGAAUCUUCCGCAAUGGGCGAAAGCCUGACGGAGUAACGCCGCGUGAGUGAUGAAGGUCUUCGGAUCGUAAAACUCUGUUAUUAGGGAAGAACAAAUGUGUAAGUAACUGUGCACACCUUGACGGUACCUAAUCAGAAAGCCACGGCUAACUACGUG
This 497-nucleotide ribosomal RNA is filed under the name uncultured bacterium. Its description in RNAcentral is "partial 16S ribosomal RNA". It matches the Rfam family "Bacterial small subunit ribosomal RNA", at positions 28 to 507 of the family's 1533-position model. The record is from RNAcentral.